GGGUUGUGAGGUUAAGCGACUAAGCGUACACGGUGGAUGCCCUGGCAGUCAGAGGCGAUGAAGGACGUGCUAAUCUGCGAAAAGCGUCGGUAAGGUGAUAUGAACCGUUACAGCCGGCGAUGUCCGAAUGGGGAAACCCAGUGCAAUUCGUUGCACUAUCGUUAACUGAAUACAUAGGUUAACGAGGCGAACCGGGGGAACUGAAACAUCUAAGUACCCCGAGGAAAAGAAAUCAACCGAGAUUCCCCCAGUAGCGGCGAGCGAACGGGGAGCAGCCCAGAGUCUGAAUCAGCUUGUGUGUUAGUGGAACGGUCUGGAAAGUCCGACGGUACAGGGUGAUAGUCCCGUACACCAAAAUGCACAGGCUGUGAACUCGAAGAGUAGGGCGGGACACGUGGUAUCCUGUCUGAAUAUGGGGGGACCAUCCUCCAAGGCUAAAUACUCCUGACUGACCGAUAGUGAACCAGUACCGUGAGGGAAAGGCGAAAAGAACCCCGGCGAGGGGAGUGAAAAAGAACCUGAAACCGUGUACGUACAAGCAGUGGGAGCACCUUCGGGUGUGACUGCGUACCUUUUGUAUAAUGGGUCAGCGACUUAUAUUCUGUAGCAAGGUUAACCGUAUAGGGGAGCCGCAGGGAAACCGAGUCUUAACUGGGCGUUAAGUUGCAGGGUAUAGACCCGAAACCCGGUGAUCUAGCCAUGGGCAGGUUGAAGGUUGGGUAACACUAACUGGAGGACCGAACCGACUAAUGUUGAAAAAUUAGCGGAUGACUUGUGGCUGGGGGUGAAAGGCCAAUCAAACCGGGAGAUAGCUGGUUCUCCCCGAAAGCUAUUUAGGUAGCGCCUCGUGAAUUCAUCUUCGGGGGUAGAGCACUGUUUCGGCUAGGGGGUCAUCCCGACUUACCAACCCGAUGCAAACUACGAAUACCGAAGAAUGUUAUCACGGGAGACACACGGCGGGUGCUAACGUCCGUCGUGAAGAGGGAAACAACCCAGACCGCCAGCUAAGGUCCCAAAGUCACAGUUAAGUGGGAAACGAUGUGGGAAGGCACAGACAGCCAGGAUGUUGGCUUAGAAGCAGCCAUCAUUUAAAGAAAGCGUAAUAGCUCACUGGUCGAGUCGGCCUGCGCGGAAGAUGUAACGGGGCUAAACUGUGCACCGAAGCUGCGGCAGCGACACUAUGUGUUGUUGGGUAGGGGAGCGUUCUGUAAGCCUGCGAAGGUGGCCUGUGAGGGUUGCUGGAGGUAUCAGAAGUGCGAAUGCUGACAUAAGUAACGAUAAUGCGGGUGAAAAGCCCGCACGCCGGAAGACCAAGGGUUCCUGUCCAACGUUAAUCGGGGCAGGGUGAGUCGACCCCUAAGGCGAGGCCGAAAGGCGUAGUCGAUGGGAAACAGGUUAAUAUUCCUGUACUUGGUGUUACUGCGAAGGGGGGACGGAGAAGGCUAUGUUAGCCGGGCGACGGUUGUCCCGGUUUAAGCAUGUAGGCGGAGGUUCCAGGUAAAUCCGGUACCUUUUAACGCUGAGGUGUGAUGACGAGGCACUACGGUGCUGAAGUAACAAAUGCCCUGCUUCCAGGAAAAGCCUCUAAGCAUCAGGUAACAUUAAAUCGUACCCCAAACCGACACAGGUGGUCAGGUAGAGAAUACCAAGGCGCUUGAGAGAACUCGGGUGAAGGAACUAGGCAAAAUGGUGCCGUAACUUCGGGAGAAGGCACGCUGAUAUGUAGGUGAAGCCCCUGCGGGUGGAGCUGAAAUCAGUCGAAGAUACCAGCUGGCUGCAACUGUUUAUUAAAAACACAGCACUGUGCAAACACGAAAGUGGACGUAUACGGUGUGACGCCUGCCCGGUGCCGGAAGGUUAAUUGAUGGGGUUAUCCGUAAGGAGAAGCUCUUGAUCGAAGCCCCGGUAAACGGCGGCCGUAACUAUAACGGUCCUAAGGUAGCGAAAUUCCUUGUCGGGUAAGUUCCGACCUGCACGAAUGGCGUAAUGAUGGCCAGGCUGUCUCCACCCGAGACUCAGUGAAAUUGAACUCGCUGUGAAGAUGCAGUGUACCCGCGGCAAGACGGAAAGACCCCGUGAACCUUUACUAUAGCUUGACACUGAACAUUGAGCCUUGAUGUGUAGGAUAGGUGGGAGGCUUUGAAGCGUGGACGCCAGUCUGCGUGGAGCCAACCUUGAAAUACCACCCUUUAAUGUUUGAUGUUCUAACGUUGGCCCCUUAUCGGGGUUGCGGACAGUGUCUGGUGGGUAGUUUGACUGGGGCGGUCUCCUCCCAAAGAGUAACGGAGGAGCACGAAGGUUAGCUAAUCCUGGUCGGACAUCAGGAGGUUAGUGCAAUGGCAUAAGCUAGCUUGACUGCGAGCGUGACGGCGCGAGCAGGUGCGAAAGCAGGUCAUAGUGAUCCGGUGGUUCUGAAUGGAAGGGCCAUCGCUCAACGGAUAAAAGGUACUCCGGGGAUAACAGGCUGAUACCGCCCAAGAGUUCAUAUCGACGGCGGUGUUUGGCACCUCGAUGUCGGCUCAUCACAUCCUGGGGCUGAAGUAGGUCCCAAGGGUAUGGCUGUUCGCCAUUUAAAGUGGUACGCGAGCUGGGUUUAGAACGUCGUGAGACAGUUCGGUCCCUAUCUGCCGUGGGCGCUGGAGAAUUGAGGGGGGCUGCUCCUAGUACGAGAGGACCGGAGUGGACGCAUCACUGGUGUUCGGGUUGUCAUGCCAAUGGCAUUGCCCGGUAGCUAAAUGCGGAAGAGAUAAGUGCUGAAAGCAUCUAAGCACGAAACUUGCCCCGAGAUGAGUUCUCCCUGAGACUUUAAGUCUCCUGAAGGAACGUUAAAGACGAUGACGUUGAUAGGUCGGGUGUGUAAGCGUAGCGAUACGUUGAGCUAACCGAUACUAAUGAACCGUGAGGCUUAACCUUACAACGCCGAAGGUGUUU
This 2931-nucleotide ribosomal RNA is filed under the name Klebsiella aerogenes. RNAcentral describes it as "23S ribosomal RNA". It matches the Rfam family "Bacterial large subunit ribosomal RNA". The record is from RNAcentral. Lineage: Bacteria; Pseudomonadati; Pseudomonadota; Gammaproteobacteria; Enterobacterales; Enterobacteriaceae.